This 406-nucleotide ribosomal RNA is filed under the name uncultured bacterium. Its description in RNAcentral is "partial 16S ribosomal RNA". It matches the Rfam family "Bacterial small subunit ribosomal RNA", at positions 30 to 526 of the family's 1533-position model. The record is from RNAcentral.
AUUGAACGCUGGCGGCAGGCCUAACACAUGCAAGUCGAACGAGUGGCGGACGGGUGUGUAAUGUCUGGGAAACUGCCUGUUGGAGGGGGAUAACUACUGGAAACGGUAGCUAAUACCGCAUACCAUCAGAUGUGCCCAGAUGGGAUUAGCUUGUUGGUGGGGUAACGGCUCACCAAGGCGACGAUCCCUAGCUGGUCUGAGAGGAUGACCAGACACACUGGAACUGAGACACGGUCGAGACGCCUACGGGAGGCAGAAGUGGGGAAUAUUGCACAAUGGGCGCAAGCCUGAUGCAGCAAUGCCGAGUGUAUGAAGAAGGACUUCGGGUUGUAAAGUACUUUCAGCGGGGAGGCGUUACCCGCAGAAGAAGCACCGGCUAACUCAGUGCCAGCAGCCGCGGUAAUUC